This 553-nucleotide long non-coding RNA is filed under the name Heterocephalus glaber (naked mole-rat). RNAcentral describes it as "lncRNA (ENSHGLG00100044365.1)". Lineage: Eukaryota; Metazoa; Chordata; Mammalia; Rodentia; Bathyergidae. The record is from RNAcentral.
AGGCGCUGGAGGAGCUUGUCAGCGGAUUGAGUGAGCAGGUACACAGUCACUUCAGGAGGUACGAGGUGGAAUACCUACAGUUCGCCUUCCGGUGGAUGAACAACCUGCUCAUGCGGGAGCUCCCUCUGCGCUGCACCAUCCGCCUGUGGGACACCUACCAGUCCGAGCCUGAGGGCUUCCUCCCACUUCCACCUCUACGUGUGCGCCCCCUUCCUGGUCAAGUGGAGGAAGGAGAUCCUGGAUGAGGAAGACUUCCAGGGCUCGAACUCAGGACUUUGUGCUUUUGUGGCAGGCACAGAACCCUGAGCUAAAUCCCGGCAAUAUCUUAAUUCUUUUUAGGUCCCCUUCCCCUCUGCCCCUUUCCCAUUUGCAAACUAUAUUUCCUGUUAUUUAUCUUUUAUUUUGCUCUUUCAUUUAUUUAUACUUUGGGUUUCUCAUAUAAAUGGUUGUCUAAAAAGCACUGAGGCAGACACAGUUGAAGCCAAGAAAGAACUGAAGGAAAGUUGUUACUGUGAGACGCCGAUGGAUCUCAUCAGAGAUGUCGGACUUGGCU